GUCGAGAAUCUUUCACAAUGGGGGCAACCCUGAUGGAGCGACGCCGCGUGGAGGAUAAGGUCUUCGGAUUGUAAACUCCUGUCAUGCGUGAACAAGGUUGCUUGGUUAAUACCUGGGCAAAUUGAUGGUAACGCAAGAGGAAGAGACGGCUAACUCUGUGCCAGCAGCCGCGGUAAUACAGAGGUCUCAAGCGUUGUUCGGAAUCACUGGGCGUAAAGGGUGCGUAGGUGGCGUGGUAAGUCAGAUGUGAAAGCCAGAGGCACAACCUCGUAACUGCAUCCGAUACUGCCAUGCUAGAUUACUGGAGAGGUUACUAGAAUUCUCGUUGUAGCAGUGAAAUGCGUAGAUAUCGAGAGGAAUACCAAAGGCGUAGGCAGGUCACUGGACAGUUACUGACACUGAGGCACGAAGGCCAGGGGAGCGAACGGGAUUAGAUACCCGGGUAGUCC
This 449-nucleotide ribosomal RNA is filed under the name uncultured bacterium. Its description in RNAcentral is "partial 16S ribosomal RNA". It matches the Rfam family "Bacterial small subunit ribosomal RNA", at positions 354 to 796 of the family's 1533-position model. The record is from RNAcentral.